UUUUAUUUGAGAGUUUGAUCCUGGCUCAGGAUGAACGCUGGCGGCGUGCCUAACACAUGCAAGUUGAGCGAUUUACUUCGGUAAAGAGCGGCGGACGGGUGAGUAACGCGUGGGUAACCUACCCUGUACACACGGAUAACAUACCGAAAGGUAUGCUAAUACGGGAUAAUAUAUUUGAGAGGCAUCUCUUGAAUAUCAAAGGUGAGCCAGUACAGGAUGGACCCGCGUCUGAUUAGCUAGUUGGUAAGGUAACGGCUUACCAAGGCGACGAUCAGUAGCCGACCUGAGAGGGUGAUCGGCCACAUUGGAACUGAGACACGGUCCAAACUCCUACGGGAGGCAGCAGUGGGGAAUAUUGCACAAUGGGCGAAAGCCUGAUGCAGCAACGCCGCGUGAGUGAUGAAGGCCUUCGGGUCGUAAAACUCUGUCCUCAAGGAAGAUAAUGACGGUACUUGAGGAGGAAGCCCCGGCUAACUACGUGCCAGCAGCCGCGGUAAUACGUAGGGGGCUAGCGUUAUCCGGAUUUACUGGGCGUAAAGGGUGCGUAGGCGGUCUUUCAAGUCAGGAGUGAAAGGCUACG
This 580-nucleotide ribosomal RNA is filed under the name Clostridioides difficile. RNAcentral's name for it is "bacterial SSU rRNA". It matches the Rfam family "Bacterial small subunit ribosomal RNA", at positions 1 to 606 of the family's 1533-position model. The record is from RNAcentral. Lineage: Bacteria; Bacillati; Bacillota; Clostridia; Peptostreptococcales; Peptostreptococcaceae.